This 528-nucleotide ribosomal RNA is filed under the name Clavispora lusitaniae. RNAcentral's name for it is "LSU rRNA". It matches the Rfam family "Eukaryotic large subunit ribosomal RNA", at positions 71 to 668 of the family's 3401-position model. The record is from RNAcentral. Lineage: Eukaryota; Fungi; Ascomycota; Pichiomycetes; Serinales; Metschnikowiaceae.
GGUAUUGCCCAGGUAACGGCGAGUGAAGCGGCAAAAGCUCAAAUUUGAAAUCCUGCGGGAAUUGUAAUUUGAAGGUUUCGUGGUCUGAGUCGGCCGCGCCCAAGUCCAUUGGAACAUGGCGCCUGGGAGGGUGAGAGCCCCGUGUGGCGCACGCCGACUCUUUGCACCGCGGCUCCGACGAGUCGAGUUGUUUGGGAAUGCAGCUCUAAGUGGGUGGUAAAUUCCAUCUAAAGCUAAAUAUUGGCGAGAGACCGAUAGCGAACAAGUACAGUGAUGGAAAGAUGAAAAGCACUUUGAAAAGAGAGUGAAACAGCACGUGAAAUUGUUGAAAGGGAAGGGCUUGCAAGCAGACACGGUUUUACCGGGCCAGCGUCAAAUAAGCGGAAGGAAAAAGGGGGAAAGAAUGUGGCGCGUGCCUUCGGGUUCGCGUGUUAUAGCUUUCUCUGAUACCCCCAUGUUUGUUUGAGGCCUGCGAUUCUAGGACGCUGGCGUAAUGGUUGCAAGCCGCCCGUCUUGAAACACGGACCA